RNAcentral lists this ribosomal RNA (995 nucleotides) under actinobacterium RG-63. Its description in RNAcentral is "bacterial SSU rRNA". It matches the Rfam family "Bacterial small subunit ribosomal RNA", at positions 31 to 1040 of the family's 1533-position model. The record is from RNAcentral. Lineage: Bacteria; Bacillati; Actinomycetota; Actinomycetes.
GAACGCUGGCGGCGUGCUUAACACAUGCAAGUCGAACGGUGAAGCCCAGCUUGCUGGGUGGAUCAGUGGCGAACGGGUGAGUAACACGUGAGCAACCUGCCCCUGACUCUGGGAUAAGCGCUGGAAACGGCGUCUAAUACUGGAUAUGUGACGUGACCGCAUGGUCUGCGUCUGGAAAGAAUUUCGGUUGGGGAUGGGCUCGCGGCCUAUCAGCUUGUUGGUGAGGUAAUGGCUCACCAAGGCGUCGACGGGUAGCCGGCCUGAGAGGGUGACCGGCCACACUGGGACUGAGACACGGCCCAGACUCCUACGGGAGGCAGCAGUGGGGAAUAUUGCACAAUGGGCGCAAGCCUGAUGCAGCAACGCCGCGUGAGGGAUGACGGCCUUCGGGUUGUAAACCUCUUUUAGCAGGGAAGAAGCGAAAGUGACGGUACCUGCAGAAAAAGCGCCGGCUAACUACGUGCCAGCAGCCGCGGUAAUACGUAGGGCGCAAGCGUUAUCCGGAAUUAUUGGGCGUAAAGAGCUCGUAGGCGGUUUGUCGCGUCUGCUGUGAAAUCCCGAGGCUCAACCUCGGGCCUGCAGUGGGUACGGGCAGACUAGAGUGCGGUAGGGGAGAUUGGAAUUCCUGGUGUAGCGGUGGAAUGCGCAGAUAUCAGGAGGAACACCGAUGGCGAAGGCAGAUCUCUGGGCCGUAACUGACGCUGAGGAGCGAAAGGGUGGGGAGCAAACAGGCUUAGAUACCCUGGUAGUCCACCCCGUAAACGUUGGGAACUAGUUGUGGGGUCCAUUCCACGGAUUCCGUGACGCAGCUAACGCAUUAAGUUCCCCGCCUGGGGAGUACGGCCGCAAGGCUAAAACUCAAAGGAAUUGACGGGGACCCGCACAAGCGGCGGAGCAUGCGGAUUAAUUCGAUGCAACGCGAAGAACCUUACCAAGGCUUGACAUAUACGAGAACGGGCCAGAAAUGGUCAACUCUUGGACACUCGAAACAGUGG